AAGGUUUGAGGGAGGGUUUGUGCCAUGGCCGGUCCCUGCCCCCAUUAGGGCAUAAGGGCCGUCCUGACUCCAAUCUGUCCUCUCCUCCCCUCCAGGUGAAGAAGGCCGUCCUUCAUUUCGUCAGGACACUGCUCAGUGUGCAGGGUCUGGAUGACUGGGCCUGGGACUUAGUGGCCUAUAUUUUCAAGCAGUCCAGCUUGUCUAGGAGCCAAAUGCCACAUUUCCUAAGGUUCAGGGGCUGCUGGCGCGACUCCUGCUUCAGGAAAUCCUGAGACCUCCCAGGACAAUGUGUGGUGGGAGCACCUGCUGCUGAAGUUCCUGAACAUGACACUGAAGAGCAUUGAUGACGAUGCCUGGAGCAGUCAGCUGAGCCUGGAGCUGCAGCACCAGACAGCCAGUUAUGCCUGCUUCUCCCCG
Long non-coding RNA from Alligator mississippiensis (American alligator), 417 nucleotides. RefSeq lists it as uncharacterized. The transcript has 4 exons. Lineage: Eukaryota; Metazoa; Chordata; Crocodylia; Alligatoridae. The record is from RefSeq and is a predicted model, not a curated record.